This 238-nucleotide long non-coding RNA is filed under the name Capsicum annuum. RNAcentral's name for it is "long non-coding RNA (CANN_LNC001327)". Lineage: Eukaryota; Viridiplantae; Streptophyta; Magnoliopsida; Solanales; Solanaceae. The record is from RNAcentral.
AGUUUGUGAUUGGGAUAAACUAUCACGGUCCAAUUUAUGAGUCAUGAUGUCACCUACUUUAUCCCACCAGUAGGUAAGCCAAUCCGUAGUUCAGAGAAUAAUCAAUGGGCUAAUUUGGUGGAAAAAGGCGUAAAAGCUGAAAAUUUACAAGUAAAGACUUACAAUAAUAAUAAGGCAAAAAUAAUAGUCAAGAAGAUAGAUAAAACAUUAAUAACCGUCCCAUGACCUAGUAGUGUUG